This 253-nucleotide ribosomal RNA is filed under the name uncultured bacterium. Its description in RNAcentral is "partial 16S ribosomal RNA". It matches the Rfam family "Bacterial small subunit ribosomal RNA", at positions 524 to 776 of the family's 1533-position model. The record is from RNAcentral.
UACGAAGGGUGCAAACGUUGCUCGGAAUUAUUGGGCGUAAAGCGCACGUAGGCGGCUUAGCAAGUCGGCUGUGAAAUCCCUCGGCUCAACCAAGGAAGUGCAUCCGAAACUGCUGAGCUUGAGUACGAAAGAGGAUCGCGGAAUUCCCGGUGUAGAGGUGAAAUUCGUAGAUAUCGGGAGGAACACCGGUGGCGAAGGCGGCCAACUGGACGAAUACUGACACUGAGGCACGAAAGCAUGGGGAGCAAACAGG